This is an RNA transcript of Otolemur garnettii (small-eared galago), 333 nucleotides long. It is a transcript of the gene named phosphatidylinositol N-acetylglucosaminyltransferase subunit P pseudogene, with no coding region annotated. The record is from RefSeq and is a predicted model, not a curated record. The transcript has 2 exons. NCBI's taxonomy places the organism in Eukaryota, Metazoa, Chordata, Mammalia, Primates, Galagidae.
GGGAAAAUGGUGGAAAAUUCACCGUCGCCAUUGCCAGAAAGAGCGAUUUAUGGCUUUGUUCUUUUCUUAAGCUCCCAGUUUGGCUUCAUACUUUAUCUUGUGUGGGCUUUUAUUCCUGAAUCUUGGCUGAAUUCCUUAGGCUUAACCUAUUGGCCUCAGAAGUACUGGGCAGUUGCGUUACCUGUCUAUCUCCUUAUUACUAUAGUAAUUGGUUAUGUACUUCUGUUUGGAAUUAACAUGAUGAGUACCUGUCCACUCAACUCCAUUCAUACAGGAGUUGGAGGUUGCUGCGACUCGUCCCGGGGCCCGCAGUCCAGCCCUCCAAUGGUCUGA